GCGUGCUUAACACAUGCAAGUCGAACGAUGAUCUCCCAGCUUGCUGGGGGUGAUUAGUGGCGAACGGGUGAGUAAUACGUGAGUAACCUGCCCUUGACUAUGGGAUAAGCCUGGGAAACCGGGUCUAAUACUGGAUACGACCUCCUGUCGCAUGGUGGGGGGUGGAAAGGGUUCUACUGGUUUUGGAUGGGCUCACGGCCUAUCAGCUUGUUGGUGGGGUAAUGGCUCACCAAGGCGACGACGGGUAGCCGGCCUGAGAGGGUGACCGGCCACACUGGGACUGAGACACGGCCCAGACUCCUACGGGAGGCAGCAGUGGGGAAUAUUGCACAAUGGGCGCAAGCCUGAUGCAGCGACGCCGCGUGAGGGAUGACGGCCUUCGGGUUGUAAACCUCUUUCAGUAGGGAAGAAGCGAAAGUGACGGUACCUGCAGAAGAAGCGCCGGCUAACUACGUGCCAGCAGCCGCGGUAAUACGUAGGGCGCAAGCGUUGUCCGGAAUUAUUGGGCGUAAAGAGCUCGUAGGCGGUCUGUCGCGUCUGCUGUGAAAGCCCGGGGCUCAACCCCGGGUCUGCAGUGGGUACGGGCAGACUAGAGUGCAGUAGGGGAGACUGGAAUUCCUGGUGUAGCGGUGAAAUGCGCAGAUAUCAGGAGGAACACCGAUGGCGAAGGCAGGUCUCUGGGCUGUUACUGACGCUGAGGAGCGAAAGCAUGGGGAGCGAACAGGAUUAGAUACCCUGGUAGUCCAUGCCGUAAACGUUGGGCACUAGGUGUGGGGGACAUUCCACGUUCUCCGCGCCGUAGCUAACGCAUUAAGUGCCCCGCCUGGGGAGUACGGCCGCAAGGCUAAAACUCAAAGGAAUUGACGGGGGCCCGCACAAGCGGCGGAGCAUGCGGAUUAAUUCGAUGCAACGCGAAGAACCUUACCAAGGCUUGACAUUCACCGGACCGCCCCAGAGAUGGGGUUUCCCU
This 970-nucleotide ribosomal RNA is filed under the name Kocuria sediminis. Its description in RNAcentral is "bacterial SSU rRNA". It matches the Rfam family "Bacterial small subunit ribosomal RNA", at positions 42 to 1018 of the family's 1533-position model. The record is from RNAcentral. Lineage: Bacteria; Bacillati; Actinomycetota; Actinomycetes; Micrococcales; Micrococcaceae.